AGGGUUUGAUCCUGGCUCAGGAUGAACGCUAGCUACAGGCUUAACACAUGCAAGUCGAGGGGCAGCAUGCAGGAAGCUUGCUUUCUGCGAUGGCGACCGGCGGAUGGGUGAGUAACGCGUAUCCAACCUGCCCCGUGCUCGGGGACAGCCCUUAGAAAUGAGGAUUAACCCCCGAUGGCGUGGAUGUUCCGCAUGGAAUUUCCACUAAAGUUUACGGCACGGGAUGGGGAUGCGUUCCAUUAGAUAGUAGGCGGGGCAACGGCCCACCUAGUCUACGAUGGAUAGGGGUUCUGAGAGGAAGGUCCCCCACAUUGGAACUGAGACACGGUCCAA
This 333-nucleotide ribosomal RNA is filed under the name uncultured bacterium. Its description in RNAcentral is "bacterial SSU rRNA". It matches the Rfam family "Bacterial small subunit ribosomal RNA", at positions 8 to 334 of the family's 1533-position model. The record is from RNAcentral.